AUUGAACGCUGGCGGCAUGCCUUACCCAUGCAAGUCGAACGGCAGCACGGGAGCAAUCCUGGUGGCGAGUGGCGAACGGGUGAGUAAUAUAUCGGAACGUGCCCAGUCGUGGGGGAUAACGCAGCGAAAGCUGUGCUAAUACCGCAUCCGAUCUACGGAUGAAAGCGGGGGAACGCAAGACCUCGCGCGAUGGGAGCGGCCGAUAUCGGAAUAAGUAGUUGGUGGGGUAAAAGCCCACCGAGGCGACGAUCUGUAGCUGGUCUGAGAGGACGACCAGCCACACUGGAACUGAGACACGGUCCAGACUCCUACGGGAGGCAGCAGUGGGGAAUUUUGGACAAUGGGCGCAAGCCUGAUCCAGCAAUGCCGCGUGCAGGAUGAAGGCCUUCGGGUUGUAAACUGCUUUUGUACGGAACGAAACGGCGAGCUCUAAUACAGUUUGCUAAUGACGGUACCGUAAGAAUAAGCACCGGCUAACUACGUGCCAGCCGCCGCCGUAA
RNAcentral lists this ribosomal RNA (500 nucleotides) under uncultured bacterium. RNAcentral describes it as "partial 16S ribosomal RNA". It matches the Rfam family "Bacterial small subunit ribosomal RNA", at positions 30 to 523 of the family's 1533-position model. The record is from RNAcentral.